CUAGAGCAUGCCCAGUGCCUACAGGUUUUAAAAUGUCAGUCCCUGUUUGGUCUGUAAACAUGACAGAACUGUAAAGAAGUACUUGGCAGAAGUUACUGCCGACUCUGAUAUUAGAUAUGAAAAUAGUGUAGUGUUACAAAUAAAAUUGUCGUGAUAAGUUUUAGAAAAAAUGGAAUCCAUUGAUAUUGAGAAGAAAGAUAUGGCUACAACCGAUCCCUCAAGGUUCACAGUAAAAGAUUAUGUUGAUAUUGUGGAAAAGCAAAAGUAUCAAUUUGAUGCAUUCUUUUGCCUUAAAUUUUGGAGACCUAAGCCUAACUUACAUCCUGAAGCAACCAAGUUUAUUGCUGAUAGUAUACUUGAAAGUCCACGUAUGAAAGACGUCAUUCAUCAACUUCUCCUUGAAGGUCAUAAUGGUGUAAACAGCUAUGAAAACAUUGUUGUCCAAAUCAAAACCAUUUUGGAGGAAAUGGGUCAUACAUACAGUCUUGGUACUAUCCGUGUAAUUGGUUUUUUCCUUGCUAAGCUGCUGAGAAAUUUAUAUCAAGGUGUAGCAAUUAACAACUCUGCUGUCCUGAAGCUCAGUAAGGCAAUGUCUGAAGGACCUGUUUUAAUCUUACCCACACAUAGAAGCUAUGCAGAUUUUCUGCUAAUAUCAUAUCUUUGCUAUACUAUGGAUAUCCCUCUUCCUGUUAUUGCCGCGGGAAUGGAUUUUAAAGGAAUGAAAUUUGUGAAUCGUGUGCUGCAAAACGCGGGUGCUUUUUACAUCAGACGCUCGUUUGGUCAUGACCAACUUUAUUGGGCUGUGGUUUCUCAGUACAUUCAAUACCACAUCAAGAACUUUCAAGCUCCAAUUGAGUUUUUUCUUGAAGGAACACGAAGCAGAAACGGUAAAAGUUUGCCACCCAAAAUAGGUUUAUUAUCGAUGGCGUUGGAACCUUAUUUUAGGGGAGAUGUACCUGACAUUAAAAUUUGUACUGUCAGUAUUACCUAUGAGCGUACUCUUGAAGAAAAUCUGUAUGCGUGGGAGGCCCUUGGAGUUCCUAAGCCGAGAGAGUCUACUUCGGGUUUUUUGAGCGCCGUCGGGAAGAUCCGUGGACAGAAUUACGGUCAAAUCUAUGUUAAUGUCUCGGAUCCAAUUUCUGUUCGAGAUCAUAUAAGUAAGCGAACUGAACCAAAUUGGAACACACCGUCGUUUCGCUUUACAUUGAAUGAGUACGAGAAAAGUCGCAUUCAUUCCUUGGCCUGGAACUUGGUCUCUAAGCAACAGAAAGAUGCUAUCACACCAGUGUCUGCCGUUCUUAUGUCAGCACUGUCUGUGAAUAAACAACUCAACAUCGAUCAGCUUGUUGAAUAUGUCGUUUUGUUCAACUCGGUGUUGAAAAAGUAUGGAACCCCUUGUUUAGUCCAGGAUGAUACCGUAGUUCAAGCUAUUAAAGACUGUCUUGACGCCCAUAAGCUAAUCAUAUUUCGUGCCUCCAAUGAAUUCUUUAGUUGUCAACCGGCAAUUUCAGAAGGUGCUGAUAUUCAAAUUCUUGCAGCGGAUCGUUUAGUUUUGCAGCAGUACACUAAUCAGUUACUAGGACCACUGAUUAAUGUUGCCGUAUUCGGUAUAAUUGAAGCAAAAUGCGCUCGAGAGUCAAGUGAUAUUAUCAACGAAUCAAUGUUUUUUGCAAAGUAUUUUAAAGAUGAAUUUAUUUUAAUAACCAGCUAUACACAAAAUGAUAUCGCUUCCUUGAAUGAUGCAAGCAAUCCAAUGCUCAAGAAUGUUUUAGGUGUUUUGCUUCAACCAUUUUUGGAAUCUUUCUAUAUUAUUCUCCAUCUGAUUGCUAUGGGAUUCUCAACCAUUAAAGAGAUUCAACUUCAAUACAGGAAUGUGGUUAGCACUAUUUUGGCAGAAGGAGCCAGUAGCUUUCUUGAAAUUUUAGCGAUUGAUAAAAUUUCUCGUCAUGUGCUUAAUCUGGUUACCAACGGUCAUCUUUGUGCAGUGAAGACGGGUAAUAAUACCAGUUAUCAACAAAUGGACGAUAUUUCGCCCAUCAUAGUUAAAAUUGAAACUUAUUUGGACGAGCGGCUGAAGCGCUUCAUGGUAUCUCAUCGACAGAAAACCGUCCUAAUUCAGUCUCAUCUUUAAUAAUUUUUCUGAAAACUGCAAGAAUUUUUUUUGUCUUACCGGUUGCCUCAACUCAAAUUAAGAUCUUCGGCAGGGUCGUCGUCAUCCCGUUUGGUAACAAUCGGCUUGAAUAAUUAAAAAAUGAUUAUUUAGCUAUAAAAAUCAACUGGCAUCUUUACAAUUCAACCCUCUAUUUGCAUUUCCCCAAUGUGUGAGCUUAAAAUUAACACGGUGGUUGGUUUAAAAUGAUUCAAAAUCUCACUGACCUUGUGAGCAAACUGAGUCUCAAAUGUGUGAUGUAAAUAGUUUAUUUCACUUUUAUUCUCUCCACCUCUGGGUAUAAUUAUAGGGGAGCUCAAGUCGAAUCUGAGUUGAUGGCUAAAAUUAGAGUUGUAGCAAUUACUCUGCAUCAGUUACGCGUUCAUAACAUGGUUAAACUGUAGUUCAAUUAUUUACCUAAACUUUGUUGUGAAUGCCAAGUGUGAAAAUAGAUCUUUUGCGACCUUCA
RNAcentral lists this unclassified non-coding RNA (2618 nucleotides) under Daphnia pulicaria. Its description in RNAcentral is "dihydroxyacetone phosphate acyltransferase-like, transcript variant X2". The record is from RNAcentral. Lineage: Eukaryota; Metazoa; Arthropoda; Branchiopoda; Diplostraca; Daphniidae.